AGACCGAUAGCGAACAAGUAGAGUGAUCGAAAAGAUGAAAAGCACUUUGGAAAGAGAGUUAAAAAGCACGUGAAAUUGUUGAAAGGGAAGCGCUUGCAAUCAGACUUGUUUAAACUGUUCGGCCGGUCUUCUGACCGGUUUACUCAGUUUGGACAGGCCAGCAUCAGUUUCGGCGGCCGGAUAAAGGCUCUGGGAAUGUGGCCUUCACUUCGGUGAAGGUGUUAUAGCCCAGGGUGUAAUACGGCCAGCCGGGACUGAGGUCCGCGCUUCGGCUAGGAUGUAGAGCCGAUAUGGUUGUAAGCGACCCGUCUUGAAACACGGACCAAG
RNAcentral lists this ribosomal RNA (327 nucleotides) under Aureobasidium sp. SP-SW257. RNAcentral describes it as "LSU rRNA". It matches the Rfam family "Eukaryotic large subunit ribosomal RNA", at positions 331 to 670 of the family's 3401-position model. Lineage: Eukaryota; Fungi; Ascomycota; Dothideomycetes; Dothideales; Saccotheciaceae. The record is from RNAcentral.